CCGUCCAAAUUUUGGCCAAUUCGUCGCAGUGGGUACGUGCCAUCGACGAAGGCUAUCCAAUCCUAUGCAAUUCAAUCGGUGGCCCUGUUCCUUUCUGCUGGAUUUUUACUUCAAUUUUAACUAGUUUGUUUACAUUGUGCCUGGAUUUCAUUGCUCUGGAAUUCAGGGAGAAGUGUAGCCACCUACGAGCCACUGAAUCCAGGUACGAAGCCUUCUUUGCCUUUUCCCUCGGCGUGUCUUCAACCGCUACGGCGAUCGGCAGCCGAUAACGGCGGCACGAGCCCUAUGACCGCCAGCGUGUUUUGAGGCACGUGAGUGCAUCGGGGGAACGCGUCCGCGAUUCUACCAACACACGCCAUGUGCAUGACGUCAUCAAGCCGGCAGGGCUAGUCCUUCAACAUCAAGGAGCUGACGGCCCGCCUCCGGUGACCAUGGUGGAACCCAGCGAAGGGGAGAGCAAGAGAGCUCGUCUUGAUGAGGCACCCAAUCAGGAAAAUGGCCAUACUUCCCAAAAUGACCUAAGCGAUUAUGAAGCCAUUGAGUGGGAUGAGGAACCUUUCAACUUCAUGACCUACAAAAAGAAAAGAAGUGAAGGAAUCCCGGUGAUGUUCAGACCAUCAGAAGAAGGACACAGGUUUUGGCAAGAUGUCCACAGAGCAUGGCCGCAUCCAUGCUACCCAAACAUGACUUAAUUCAUGGGAAGCAACCACCACACAAGGAGCCCCUUCCGAAUCCCGAUGCUGUGAGCCCAGCGAAUCAUCUCCUGUUUACAUCAACUGAACAAAGAUCAAAAUAACUAUCGUAUUCGUCGGCAAUAAAGCAGCAAGCUGCGCAAGGGCUUCAUAGACAGCGGAGUCAUCAUUCUGCUACGGUCACUGAAGGCCACACAUCACAAGAAUACUAGCGACCUAACCUAGGGCAACCUCAGCGGGCUUCUUAGAACACCCCUCAGCGAUCACAUCGGAAGGUGACUGGAACCUCGGCAUUUCUGGAUAACACCGCGCCACUCAGUGUUGGAAAGAUGAUUCUACCCAUGCUGUUUGCUGCAGUUUGAGCCAUUGUCACAGCUCUACCUCAGGCGAACAAACUCCCAGAGGUAAAGGCACUGUUGUCUAUGGAGCCUAUAGAGAGCCAUCUGUCCGCAUCAGCGCUAGUGGAUGGCAAUCAUGAAUAGUCGUAACGAAAAUGUCGGAAUAUUUAGGUGGAACGCUAAUAGCCUUCGAUCCAAAUCUGCUGAUUUCGCUAGUUGCAUAAUACAGCUUCCCCGUGCUGUGCAUACAAUAGGCUGGUGUGCGUGAUGAUUUCCGUCCUGCUAAUUACAUAAUACAUACAUCCUCUUGUCCAGCUGGAACAAUAGAGCAAUGUUCUGCGUUCGAAAA
Long non-coding RNA from Dermacentor albipictus, 1379 nucleotides. RefSeq lists it as uncharacterized. The record is from RefSeq and is a predicted model, not a curated record. Lineage: Eukaryota; Metazoa; Arthropoda; Arachnida; Ixodida; Ixodidae.